RNAcentral lists this ribosomal RNA (253 nucleotides) under uncultured bacterium. Its description in RNAcentral is "partial 16S ribosomal RNA". It matches the Rfam family "Bacterial small subunit ribosomal RNA", at positions 524 to 776 of the family's 1533-position model. The record is from RNAcentral.
UACGAAGGGGGCUAGCGUUGUUCGGAUUUACUGGGCGUAAAGCGCACGUAGGCGGAUCGUUAAGUUGAGGGUGAAAUCCUGGAGCUCAACUCCAGAACUGCCUUCAAUACUGGCGAUCUAGAGUCCGGAAGAGGUGAGUGGAACUCCUAGUGUAGAGGUGGAAUUCGUAGAUAUUAGGAAGAACACCAGUGGCGAAGGCGGCUCACUGGUCCGGUACUGACGCUGAGGUGCGAAAGCGUGGGGAGCAAACAGG